UUUCCGUAGGUGAACCUGCGGAAGGAUCAUUAUUGAAUAACCGAGGGGCGAGGGCUGGCGCUGACCCGUGAGGUUGUGCACGCCCGAUUGCCCUCCCACACAUCCAUCGAACCCCUAUGUGAGCCACCGCGUGCGUCCCGCUUUGGUCUGUUCGGAGGGGGGCUAACGUUUUGACACAAUCUUAGUUUUCAGCGCAGAAUGUCUUUUUUGUUUUUGCGAUCACGAAAGCAAUACAACUUUCAACAACGGAUCUAAUGGCUCUCGCACCGAAGAAGAACC
RNAcentral lists this unclassified non-coding RNA (279 nucleotides) under plant metagenome. RNAcentral's name for it is "partial contains small subunit ribosomal RNA, internal transcribed spacer 1, and 5.8S ribosomal RNA". The record is from RNAcentral.